GCUGGGUGUGGUGGCGCACACCUGUAGUCUCAGCUACUUGGGAGGCUGAGGCAGAAGAAUUGCUUGAACCCAGGAGGCGGAGGUUGCAGUGAGCCAAGAUUGCACCACUGCACUCCAGCCUGGGUGACAGAGCAAGACUCCAUCUCAA
This 148-nucleotide non-coding RNA is filed under the name Homo sapiens (human). The record is from Rfam by way of RNAcentral. Lineage: Eukaryota; Metazoa; Chordata; Mammalia; Primates; Hominidae.